GACGUAGGGCGCAAGCGUUGUCCGGAAUUAUUGGGCAUAAAGCGCGCGCAGGCGGUCCCUUAAGUCUGAUGUGAAAGCCCACGGCUCAACCGGGGAGGGUCAUUGGAAACUGGCAGACUUGAGUGCAGAAGAGGAGAGUGGAAUUCCAUGUGUAGCGGUGAAAUGCGCAGAGAUAUGGAGGAACACCAGUGGCGAAGGCGACUUUCUGGUCUGUAACUGACGCUGAGGCGCGAAAGCGUGGGGAGCAAACAGG
This 253-nucleotide unclassified non-coding RNA is filed under the name uncultured Caryophanales bacterium. RNAcentral's name for it is "uncultured Bacillales bacterium contains 16S-23S intergenic spacer region". It matches the Rfam family "Bacterial small subunit ribosomal RNA", at positions 524 to 776 of the family's 1533-position model. The record is from RNAcentral. Lineage: Bacteria; Bacillati; Bacillota; Bacilli; Caryophanales.